GGGUUGUGAGGUUAAGCGACUAAGCGUACACGGUGGAUGCCCUGGCAGUCAGAGGCGAUGAAGGACGUGCUAAUCUGCGAUAAGCGUCGGUAAGGUGAUAUGAACCGUUAUAACCGGCGAUUUCCGAAUGGGGAAACCCAGUGUGAUUCGUCACACUAUCAUUAACUGAAUCCAUAGGUUAAUGAGGCGAACCGGGGGAACUGAAACAUCUAAGUACCCCGAGGAAAAGAAAUCAACCGAGAUUCCCCCAGUAGCGGCGAGCGAACGGGGAGGAGCCCAGAGCCUGAAUCAGUGUGUGUGUUAGUGGAAGCGUCUGGAAAGGCGCGCGAUACAGGGUGACAGCCCCGUACACAAAAAUGCACAUACUGUGAGCUCGAUGAGUAGGGCGGGACACGUGGUAUCCUGUCUGAAUAUGGGGGGACCAUCCUCCAAGGCUAAAUACUCCUGACUGACCGAUAGUGAACCAGUACCGUGAGGGAAAGGCGAAAAGAACCCCGGCGAGGGGAGUGAAAAAGAACCUGAAACCGUGUACGUACAAGCAGUGGGAGCCUCUUUAUGGGGUGACUGCGUACCUUUUGUAUAAUGGGUCAGCGACUUAUAUUCUGUAGCAAGGUUAACCGAAUAGGGGAGCCGAAGGGAAACCGAGUCUUAACUGGGCGUUAAGUUGCAGGGUAUAGACCCGAAACCCGGUGAUCUAGCCAUGGGCAGGUUGAAGGUUGGGUAACACUAACUGGAGGACCGAACCGACUAAUGUUGAAAAAUUAGCGGAUGACUUGUGGCUGGGGGUGAAAGGCCAAUCAAACCGGGAGAUAGCUGGUUCUCCCCGAAAGCUAUUUAGGUAGCGCCUCGUGAAUUCAUCUCCGGGGGUAGAGCACUGUUUCGGCAAGGGGGUCAUCCCGACUUACCAACCCGAUGCAAACUGCGAAUACCGGAGAAUGUUAUCACGGGAGACACACGGCGGGUGCUAACGUCCGUCGUGAAGAGGGAAACAACCCAGACCGCCAGCUAAGGUCCCAAAGUCAUGGUUAAGUGGGAAACGAUGUGGGAAGGCCCAGACAGCCAGGAUGUUGGCUUAGAAGCAGCCAUCAUUUAAAGAAAGCGUAAUAGCUCACUGGUCGAGUCGGCCUGCGCGGAAGAUGUAACGGGGCUAAACCAUGCACCGAAGCUGCGGCAGCGACGCUUAUGCGUUGUUGGGUAGGGGAGCGUUCUGUAAGCCUGCGAAGGUGUGCUGUGAGGCAUGCUGGAGGUAUCAGAAGUGCGAAUGCUGACAUAAGUAACGAUAAAGCGGGUGAAAAGCCCGCUCGCCGGAAGACCAAGGGUUCCUGUCCAACGUUAAUCGGGGCAGGGUGAGUCGACCCCUAAGGCGAGGCCGAAAGGCGUAGUCGAUGGGAAACAGGUUAAUAUUCCUGUACUUGGUGUUACUGCGAAGGGGGGACGGAGAAGGCUAUGUUGGCCGGGCGACGGUUGUCCCGGUUUAAGCGUGUAGGCUGGUUUUCCAGGCAAAUCCGGAAAAUCAAGGCUGAGGCGUGAUGACGAGGCACUACGGUGCUGAAGCAACAAAUGCCCUGCUUCCAGGAAAAGCCUCUAAGCAUCAGGUAACAUCAAAUCGUACCCCAAACCGACACAGGUGGUCAGGUAGAGAAUACCAAGGCGCUUGAGAGAACUCGGGUGAAGGAACUAGGCAAAAUGGUGCCGUAACUUCGGGAGAAGGCACGCUGAUAUGUAGGUGAAGCGACUUGCUCGUGGAGCUGAAAUCAGUCGAAGAUACCAGCUGGCUGCAACUGUUUAUUAAAAACACAGCACUGUGCAAACACGAAAGUGGACGUAUACGGUGUGACGCCUGCCCGGUGCCGGAAGGUUAAUUGAUGGGGUUAGCGCAAGCGAAGCUCUUGAUCGAAGCCCCGGUAAACGGCGGCCGUAACUAUAACGGUCCUAAGGUAGCGAAAUUCCUUGUCGGGUAAGUUCCGACCUGCACGAAUGGCGUAAUGAUGGCCAGGCUGUCUCCACCCGAGACUCAGUGAAAUUGAACUCGCUGUGAAGAUGCAGUGUACCCGCGGCAAGACGGAAAGACCCCGUGAACCUUUACUAUAGCUUGACACUGAACAUUGAGCCUUGAUGUGUAGGAUAGGUGGGAGGCUUUGAAGUGUGGACGCCAGUCUGCAUGGAGCCGGCCUUGAAAUACCACCCUUUAAUGUUUGAUGUUCUAACGUUGGCCCCUUAUCGGGGUUGCGGACAGUGUCUGGUGGGUAGUUUGACUGGGGCGGUCUCCUCCUAAAGAGUAACGGAGGAGCACGAAGGUUGGCUAAUCCUGGUCGGACAUCAGGAGGUUAGUGCAAUGGCAUAAGCCAGCUUGACUGCGAGCGUGACGGCGCGAGCAGGUGCGAAAGCAGGUCAUAGUGAUCCGGUGGUUCUGAAUGGAAGGGCCAUCGCUCAACGGAUAAAAGGUACUCCGGGGAUAACAGGCUGAUACCGCCCAAGAGUUCAUAUCGACGGCGGUGUUUGGCACCUCGAUGUCGGCUCAUCACAUCCUGGGGCUGAAGUAGGUCCCAAGGGUAUGGCUGUUCGCCAUUUAAAGUGGUACGCGAGCUGGGUUUAGAACGUCGUGAGACAGUUCGGUCCCUAUCUGCCGUGGGCGCUGGAGAACUGAGGGGGGCUGCUCCUAGUACGAGAGGACCGGAGUGGACGCAUCACUGGUGUUCGGGUUGUCAUGCCAAUGGCACUGCCCGGUAGCUAAAUGCGGAAGAGAUAAGUGCUGAAAGCAUCUAAGCACGAAACUUGCCCCGAGAUGAGUUCUCCCUGACCCUUUAAGGGUCCUGAAGGAACGUUGAAGACGACGACGUUGAUAGGCCGGGUGUGUAAGCGCAGCGAUGCGUUGAGCUAACCGGUACUAAUGAACCGUGAGGCUUAACCUUACAACGCCGAAG
This 2924-nucleotide ribosomal RNA is filed under the name Escherichia fergusonii. Its description in RNAcentral is "23S ribosomal RNA". It matches the Rfam family "Bacterial large subunit ribosomal RNA". The record is from RNAcentral. Lineage: Bacteria; Pseudomonadati; Pseudomonadota; Gammaproteobacteria; Enterobacterales; Enterobacteriaceae.